Molecule: long non-coding RNA, 1172 nt
Organism: Mauremys mutica (yellowpond turtle)
Lineage: Eukaryota; Metazoa; Chordata; Testudines; Geoemydidae
Exons: 3
Source: RefSeq, a predicted model, not a curated record
CAGAUAGUCCAGAACAUGAUGGCUAGGUGCCUAGGGCAGGGAAACACCUUUCUGAUGGGACCAGAUGGAGAACCUUUUCCAUUUUGGCAGGCAUCAAAAUUGAUUAGUCCAUCCUGAUUAGAAGUCCUAGAAUAUCGAAGUUGACUGGAUAAAGGCCACAUUGGACAGUUCUUGAGACCUGGAACAGCCUCUAACCAACCAUUUGUCCAGGUCUUGGGAAUGAAGAAUAGACCCUGGGUAUCAUUGCAACUGUUGCAGUCUACACUGCUUCCUUUUUGUUGCCUGCAUAUAGAUAUCCAGCGACUUAAGCAUCACCCUUGAGUCUUUAAGGCUAUGCAGCCUAUUAUCUAUCUUCUCUGAAACAGUGAUGGCCCCUCAAAUGAGAGGUCUUGGAUGGUCUGCUUGACCUCUUACUCCUCACAGAAUUCUGCACCCCUGCGAGAGCACAGAAUUCAUAUGGCCCGCAUAUUUCUGUGCCUCCCACACAGAAAAAAGUAAAAAAAAAUCUGCCGGGGGACAUGCACCUCUUCCCCAGCAGCCCAGGCAGCACGUAUGUUCCAGGGUGCCUGGAGCAGCCUCAGAGACGCAAAUCACUGUAGGCGGAGGGGGUCUCGGUGUGCAUGCCUGCAGGGGAGACGUUGAUCAUGGUCAGGGGUCUGGGCGGGGCAUGCAUGCCUGCCAAUGAGAGAGACCCUGUCCCUCUCGCUUGCUACUGCGGCUGUCUGGGGACCUUGGAGAGUUAGGUCUUUUUAUUAAGCACAAGACAGACUCUGUCCCUCAAACAUAAAUGUAGCAGCCUGCCUGCAUAGUAACAUUGUUAAUGUUGCUGUUGUUAGUUUACUGUUCCCAUUCUCAGUCAAUUUCCCCAGGAGCAUAAACCCUGUAAAAGUUUUAAGGCCCCUGCAUUGUCAAAGUGAUGUAAAGCCUUAUAAAUGACAGUAAGGGAAUCAUCUAGGAAGAUCUAUGUGCUUUCUCACUUUUUUCCUGUGCCAAAGUGGACAAUGGGGUUAAAUUACAGCUCGGGAUUUAUUUUACUUACCCAUUAAAAAAAAAAGACUUUGAGGGCAAAUAAAACAUCUACCAAGCAGUUAAUAAAAUGUCAGGACAAUUAGAAGCAAGCACUUCCCAAAGUACCCAGCCAGGUCCAGGACAAUGAUUAGCAAAACUGUAUG